Molecule: ribosomal RNA, 504 nt
Filed under: uncultured bacterium
Lineage: Bacteria
Description: partial 16S ribosomal RNA
Rfam family: Bacterial small subunit ribosomal RNA
Source: RNAcentral
AUUGAACGCUGGCGGCAGGCCUAACACAUGCAAGUCGGACGGUAGCACAGAGAGCUUGCUCUUGGGUGACGAGUGGCGGACGGGUGAGUAAUGUCUGGGGAUCUGCCCGAUAGAGGGGGAUAACCACUGGAAACGGUGGCUAAUACCGCAUAACGUCGCAAGACCAAAGAGGGGGACCUUCGGGCCUCUCACUAUCGGAUGAGCCCAGAUGGGAUUAGCUAGUAGGCGGGGUAAUGGCCCACCUAGGCGACGAUCCCUAGCUGGUCUGAGAGGAUGACCAGCCACACUGGAACUGAGACACGGUCCAGACUCCUACGGGAGGCAGCAGUGGGGAAUAUUGCACAAUGGGCGCAAGCCUGAUGCAGCCAUGCCGCGUGUAUGAAGAAGGCCUUCGGGUUGUAAAGUACUUUCAGCGGGGAGGAAGGCGGUGAGGUUAAUAACCUUGCCGAUUGACGUUACCCGCAGAAGAAGCACCGGCUAACUCCGUGCCAGCAGCCGCUGUAA